RNAcentral lists this ribosomal RNA (258 nucleotides) under uncultured Streptococcaceae bacterium. Its description in RNAcentral is "partial 16S ribosomal RNA". It matches the Rfam family "Bacterial small subunit ribosomal RNA", at positions 524 to 782 of the family's 1533-position model. The record is from RNAcentral. Lineage: Bacteria; Bacillati; Bacillota; Bacilli; Lactobacillales; Streptococcaceae.
UACGUAGGUCCCGAGCGUUAUCCGGAUUUAUUGGGCGUAAAGCGAGCGCAGGCGGUUAGAUAAGUCUGAAGUUAAAGGCUGUGGCUUAACCAUAGUACGCUUUGGAAACUGUUUAACUUGAGUGCAGAAGGGGAGAGUGGAAUUCCAUGCGUAGCGGUGAAAUGCGUAGAUAUAUGGAGGAACACCGGUGGCGAAAGCGGCUCUCUGGUCUGUAACUGACGCUGAGGCUCGAAAGCGUGGGGAGCAAACAGGAUUAGA